Molecule: ribosomal RNA, 484 nt
Filed under: uncultured bacterium
Lineage: Bacteria
Description: partial 16S ribosomal RNA
Rfam family: Bacterial small subunit ribosomal RNA
Source: RNAcentral
AUUGAACGCUGGCGGCAUGCUUUACACAUGCAAGUCGAACGGCAGCGCGGGCUUCGGCCUGGCGGCGAGUGGCGAACGGGUGAGUAAUGCAUCGGAAUGUGCCUAGUAGUGGGGGAUAGCCCGGCGAAAGCCGGUUUAAUACCGCAUACGACCUGAGGGUGAAAGCGGGGGGCCGGAAGGCCUCGCGCUAUCGGAGCAGCCGAUGUCGGAUUAGCUAGUUGGUGGGGUAAAGGCUUACCAAGGCGACGAUCCGUAGCUGGUCUGAGAGGACGACCAGCCACACUGGGACUGAGACACGGCCCAGACUCCUACGGGGGGCAGCAGUGGGGAAUUUUGGACAAUGGGGGCAAGCCUGAUCCAGCCAUGCCGCGUGCGGGAAGAAGGCCUUCGGGUUGUAAACCGCUUUUGUUCGGGAAGAAGUCCUCUGGGCUAAUACCCCGGGGGGAUGACGGUACCGGAAGAAUAAGCACCGGCUAACUCCGUG